Streptomyces nodosus is the source of this 96-nucleotide regulatory RNA element. It matches the Rfam family "Glycine riboswitch aptamer". Rfam says of the family: This family represents the bacterial glycine riboswitch. Glycine riboswitches usually consist of two metabolite-binding aptamers domains with similar structures in tandem. The aptamers cooperatively bind glycine to regulate the expression of downstream genes. Lineage: Bacteria; Bacillati; Actinomycetota; Actinomycetes; Kitasatosporales; Streptomycetaceae. The record is from Rfam.
UGACCCCGUGCGGGAGAGUCCUCCGGAACGGUCCGGAGGCGCCGAAGGAGCAAACCCUCCCCGGAAUCUCUCAGGCUCACGUACCGCACGGACGAG